UACAGAGGGUGCGAGCGUUGAUCGGAAUUACUGGGCGUAAAGGGCGCGUAGGCGGCCGCCUAAGUCAGACGUGAAAUCCCUCGGCUCAACCGGGGAACUGCGUCUGAUACUGGGUGGCUUGAGUUCGGGAGAGGGAUGCGGAAUUCCAGGUGUAGCGGUGAAAUGCGUAGAUAUCUGGAGGAACACCGGUGGCGAAGGCGGGUCUCUGGGCAUCUCCUGACGCUGAGGCGCGAAAGCGUGGGGAGCAAACGGG
This 253-nucleotide ribosomal RNA is filed under the name uncultured bacterium. Its description in RNAcentral is "partial 16S ribosomal RNA". It matches the Rfam family "Bacterial small subunit ribosomal RNA", at positions 524 to 776 of the family's 1533-position model. The record is from RNAcentral.